GAAGGAGACUAAAACCAAUUUAAAAAUAAAAACCCACCUCAGCCUGUGGGAACAGGACUGGACAUGUGGGAGCCCCCGCCUGCCAAGGGCUCUGGGGGACAGCUGUUCUUUGGUCUUGCAGUUCUGGGGAUGAAGCCAGGGCUCUGCCACUGGGCUCCACCCCCGGCCUCUUUCCCUUGGUUUUGAAGAACAGGACACUGGAAGGUCAGGAGGUAGUCCUGCUGGACCCAGCCAGGGGGUGGCAAAGGACGGAAACGGGAAUCAACUUUGGCGUGUGAAGGCACAUUUAACCCCUUUGACACCUCUGAGAAUCGUCCCUGUCCCAUCCCAUACCCGAGGCCAGGCAGGGAGAGGUGGGGAGCCUCCUGUCACCCGCUGGCUUGUCUAAUUUGGGGUCCUCUGCAGGGCAGGUCCCCCCCUCUCCCCCCACUCGCUGCCUUGGGCGGAGGAGAGCUCCCGGGCUGCGGUCCAGGUGGAGGACUUUGGUAGGGGACCCCUGGGUGCCCAGAUGCCCAGGGCCUCCUGGAGAUUCCUCGCCGCGCCAGCCCUGGUCGCCUCACUACCCGUCCUGCCCCACCGUGCGGAGGACCGGUGGGUCGUGCGCGGGAUUGGAGAGUCAGCAGGACACCGCCCUCAACCCGGCAGCCACGACUGAGCCCCGACGGGACUCCAGGGUCCUGCGAAACCGACAGCAGCUCUCAGAGGACGAGGGGCUGAGCCCGGAGAGCAGCAGUAG
Molecule: long non-coding RNA, 736 nt
Filed under: Ictidomys tridecemlineatus (thirteen-lined ground squirrel)
Lineage: Eukaryota; Metazoa; Chordata; Mammalia; Rodentia; Sciuridae
Description: lncRNA (ENSSTOG00000033405.1)
Source: RNAcentral